Molecule: long non-coding RNA, 1650 nt
Filed under: Gossypium barbadense (sea-island cotton)
Lineage: Eukaryota; Viridiplantae; Streptophyta; Magnoliopsida; Malvales; Malvaceae
Description: long non-coding RNA (GBAR_LNC014578)
Source: RNAcentral
CAUUAAUAGAUUUCUUAAAUGCAAAGUUAGGGAGUCUACCUUCAUAUACUUGGAAAAGCGUGUGUAUGGCAAGAGGACUAGUUCAAAUGGGCUGGGCUGGAGGGUGGGUUCGGGAGAAAGAACCUCCAUCAGAGAAGAUGCUUGGUUACCACAGUCUACAGGAUGUAGGCUGAAUGUUACAAUCACUAAUGAUGGCAUUGAUUUUGCAUCUAAUUUAAUUGAUGCUAGCACUAAAAAAUAGAAAGAAAUUUUAAUUUUUAAUACCUUUCAUGUGGAUGUCGCAAAAACUAUUAUGCAUAUUCCAUUUGCGAGGAUAAUCUCUGAAUAUCUACAAGUUUGGUAUGACGAAUGACUGGUGAUUUUACUGUGAGAAGCGCCUAUAAACUAUUACAAAACGGUUCCCUACUUUCUACUGAUGAUACAUCACAUGCUGAUUCUAGACAUUUUUACAAAAAUCUAUGAAAUUUACAAAUACCUCUGAAAAUUAAAACUAUGAUUUAGAGAUUUUCAUGGAAUUUUAUUCUUACUUUAGUCAAUCUAAAUUAUAGAAAGAUUACAGUGAAUACUUUGUACCCACGCUGCUGCAAUUCUAUGGAGGAUUCUAUCCAUGUGUUUCAUGACUGCCCUAUAUUAAUAUAAACUUGGGUUAGUCUUAAUCUCUCAUGGAUGCUGAAUAAUUCGGAUAAUAGUUUCUGGGAUUGGGUUACCUAGGUGUUUCGGAUUGCUACCAGUGAGCAAUGUAGAAUUUUCUGUUGUGGGAUUUGGAUACUUUGGACAAGCCGAAAUCGCCUCGUACAUGAAAGGAAAAUUGUGUCUGGUAAGGAGAUCUCGGAUUGGACCAUAAGUUAUGUUAAAAACUUGAAGGGAUUGAAAAGGAAAAGCUUAUCUGAACGAGAGAUUUUGAUAAGUGGGAACCCCCUCAUGAACCUUUCUUUAAGAUUAACUUUGAUGGGGCCUAUGACCCCCAGCAUGCAAGAUCUGGGUCAAGGGUAGUGGUGAGGAACCCAGUGGGGGAAAUAUUAGCUUCUAGAGCCGUGGGUCAUAAAGCAAUUUCUUCUUCGCUCGCUGCUAAAGCGUAGGCGUGUGUUCAGGUGCUGCGACUAGGCAUUCACAUGGGGGCAGAGUGUGCAAUAAUCGAAGGGGACUCAUUGACAACAAUAAAGAAAGCCAACUCAGAUAGUGAAGAUAAAUCGGAGAUAAGAGCCAUUACUAAAAACCUUCAACAAUAUAAAGAGAACUUUCAACAAAUUAUUUUCAGGCACAUUUCAAGAUCGGCAAACUCUCUUGCUCAUAAUUUGGCUAAAGAAAUAUUGAAAAAGGGGGAAGAUAAUAACCUGAGUGGUGAGUCCCGAAUUUCGUACGCAGGGCAGAAGAGAGAAGAAGACAAUGAACCCAGAUUGAGGGUGAGUUUGGAUGGACGGUGCGUUUACAUGCGGUUAGUGUAAAAACAGCGGUGGUAGUGAGAUUAGAUACUACUGUAGCGUGAGACAAAAAGUAAACUAAACGCACCACACCGCACCCAAUUGCCCAUCCAAACCCACCCUGAGUUUGGAGAUUGGAAGGUUUCUGGAAGACAAGCAAUAGCAUACAAAGGUUUUGAUUUUAUGUUUUAGAAACUGCUAUUUCUUAGGUAUCUGGUAGGUGCAUUUA